GACGAACGCUGGCGGCGUGCUUAACACAUGCAAGUCGAACGGAAAGGCCCCCUUUUGGGGUACUCGAGUGGCGAACGGGUUAGUAACACGUGAGUAAUCUACCUUUGACUUUGGGAUAACUUCAGGAAACUGGGGCUAAUACCGGAUAGGAGCUCCUGCUGCAUGGUGGGGGUUGGAAAGCUUCGGCGGUUGGGGAUGGACUCGCGGCUUAUCAGCUUGUUGGUGGGGUAGUGGCUCACCAAGGCUUUGACGGGUAGCCGGCCUGAGAGGGUGACCGGCCACAUUGGGACUGAGAUACGGCCCAGACUCCUACGGGAGGCAGCAGUGGGGAAUAUUGCACAAUGGGCGGAAGCCUGAUGCAGCAACGCCGCGUGCGGGAUGACGGCCUUCGGGUUGUAAACCGCUUUCGCCUGUGACGAAGCGUGAGUGACGGUAAUGGGUAAAGAAGCACCGGCUAACUACGUG
This 465-nucleotide ribosomal RNA is filed under the name uncultured bacterium. Its description in RNAcentral is "partial 16S ribosomal RNA". It matches the Rfam family "Bacterial small subunit ribosomal RNA", at positions 28 to 507 of the family's 1533-position model. The record is from RNAcentral.